Molecule: ribosomal RNA, 466 nt
Filed under: Vreelandella stevensii
Lineage: Bacteria; Pseudomonadati; Pseudomonadota; Gammaproteobacteria; Oceanospirillales; Halomonadaceae
Description: partial 16S ribosomal RNA
Rfam family: Bacterial small subunit ribosomal RNA
Source: RNAcentral
CCUACGGGAGGCAGCAGUGGGGAAUAUUGGACAAUGGGCGAAAGCCUGAUCCAGCCAUGCCGCGUGUGUGAAGAAGGCCUUCGGGUUGUAAAGCACUUUCAGUGGGGAAGAAAGCCUUGGGGCUAAUACCCUCGAGGCAUGACAUCACCCACAGAAGAAGCACCGGCUAACUCCGUGCCAGCAGCCGCGGUGAAUACGGAGGGUGCGAGCGUUAAUCGGAAUUACUGGGCGUAAAGCGCGCGUAGGCGGUCUGAUAAGCCGGUUGUGAAAGCCCCGGGCUCAACCUGGGAACGGCAUUCGGAACUGUAAAGCUAGAGUGCAGGAGAGGAAGGUAGAAUUCCCGGUGUAGCGGUGAAAUGCGUAGAGAUAGGGAGGAAUACCAGUGGCGAAGGCGGCCUUCUGGACUGACACUGACGCUGAGGUGCGAAAGCGUGGGUAGCAAACAGGAUUAGAUACCCCAGUAGUC